Molecule: ribosomal RNA, 252 nt
Filed under: uncultured bacterium
Lineage: Bacteria
Description: partial 16S ribosomal RNA
Rfam family: Bacterial small subunit ribosomal RNA
Source: RNAcentral
UACGGGGGGGCAAGCGUUGUUCGGAAUUACUGGGCGUAAAGGGCUCGUAGGUGGCCAACUAAGUCAGACGUGAAAUCCCUCGGCUUAACCGGGGAACUGCGUCUGAUACUGGAUGGCUUGAGUUUGGGAGAGGGAUGCGGAAUUCCAGGUGUAGCGGUGAAAUGCGUAGAUAUCUGGAGGAACACCGGUGGCGAAGGCGGCAUCCUGGACCAAUACUGACACUGAGGAGCGAAAGCCAGGGGAGCAAACGGG